Mytilus trossulus (common blue mussel) is the source of this 205-nucleotide long non-coding RNA. RefSeq lists it as uncharacterized. The transcript has 3 exons. NCBI's taxonomy places the organism in Eukaryota, Metazoa, Mollusca, Bivalvia, Mytilida, Mytilidae. The record is from RefSeq and is a predicted model, not a curated record.
UUCAGGUUUUUUUUGUGAGAUUUUUUCAUGGUGUGGGAAUAAGACUUGGAGGUCUAAUACAGCUAGUAUAUAGAUUAGCAUCAGCUUGUCUGUAAGGAUUGAGGCUGAGAAUGGCCAUUGGAGCUGACUAAUAUGGUGACUUCAACUGUGGCUGCAGGAAAUUAUUGUGCAAUACAACUGAAACCAAAAAGAAUGUAAUUCAGAC